AAUUUUUAUUUUUGCCAUUUGUUUGAAUAGGUUAGUAUUUCUUUUGGUACCUACAUUGAUUUUUACUUUCAUUAUUACCCUCGUUACUUCUCAACUUCAUACGGGAAGAGUUAAAUUAGAAAUUGAGUGGCGCUCAACCAUUGGUAAGCGCAACGAAGAACGAAGAUUAAAUGCCCAGAACGGACUACCGCUGUGACAGAUCUCAAGCGUGUAUUUUCUUGUUUAACCCUGAGCUAGUUGGCCCCUUGACUCUAAUAUGACAAUUUCUCCUAUGUGUGUCCAUUGUUAUUUUCUAUUUAAAGCUUUGGAUUUGAAUCGAACUACUCCUUUUUCAUGGCAUGAUUGUUCGGUAUCGUAUAUUUUGAUUAAUUAUCAAGCUAAACUACACAAACACCAUAAACAACAAUUUAAGAACAUGAAACGCUUAACAAUAAAACAAGAAAAUGGAAAUGACACAUUAUAACAUUAUCGUUUGCAAUUAUUAAAUGGUAAAACUGUUCACAAUUCUUACAUGGCACUGUAUUAAUCCCUAGGCGUCUAGUGCGCCUGGUGGGAAAUCGUCAUGGGUUGUUUAAUGCGGCCAUCCCGGCACCGAUUUACUUCCCGGCUCCAAUUAUCCCGGCAAUGGGCAAUCUCGGCAAUAAUGUACAUCUCGACUUUGGUCGUCCCGGCAAUUUGAACUGUGCGAUCGGGGUGAUAGAACACAUUUAAGACACGGUAAACAUAUAAUACAAUCUGAAUAGAGACUGUAUUAUCAAAUUGUAUCGAUCGCCAGGUCUUGUGACACCUCGUCAACGGAAGCGUAUCACCAGAUCUCGUGGAGGUGUCGACGGAAGGGGACUAUAUCAUUUCGGCACUGGGGACCUCCGUAGUGCAUUUUCAUUGUGCUUACAACCAUAGAUACAACCAUAUUGGUCGUUGAACCUUCCUUUAUCACGAGUUGAUGGAUAUCACAUCACCUCGGUCCUGUCACGGUCGCCAAAAAUGUUAGAUCUCCGAAGAACUACCCAUCAUACAGGGAAAUUGUAUGUAAUUAGUAUCCAUUGUUUUUUCAUUAUUAGCAGUAUUAGCACUUUGCAAUGCACGGCCAAAGAAAUCUUGGACUUCCAUUUUAACCUUUUUAGCAGCAUUAACAUUUUCUUUAAUUAUACACCCAAUCAAAUGACAACUACAAGAGCCCCAGAUUGAUUUAGAGCAAUUCAUAUGGGAGGAAAAAACUUUAAACUCACAAAACCUGGUGCAUUAUGUUGUUCAUACGAAAAUAAUAAUAAUUCAUUAGUUUUCGAUGUUUACAAAGCUUAUUCAAGUGCAGAGUAAAUGGCCACUCAACGGCAUUUGUUCUAAAAAAUGUUAAAAAUUGAAAUAAUGACGACUAUAGCACAAUUCCAAUAAUCUGCGUUACAGUGAUCCAAUCUGAAACCUACUUUGCAUAUCGUGCCGAAAAAGUUGCGAAUCGUCUCUAUCUAAGGUAAAGUAACAUUGGCGAUAAAAAUUGAUCUCGCGAGCAACUUCGGUAAUUAUGGGAAUCUAGUAAGCUACUUUGUAAACAUGAGUGCUCUUGAAAGUUUCGUCAUUAUAUUAGAAAUUGCUAGAUAUCAAUUCGAAGCUCGAACGGAAUAGUGAACGUGCACUCUUUAGAAGACUGUAAAAAUUUUGUUACUUUUAAACUUUCGCGAUAAUUGCGUUUGUUUAACUGCAAAUCGCGCUCUGUACAAAAUCGUAAAACACCUCUCCGAUACUUUUCGCUAGGCGAAAAAGAUGGCCGCCGCCCGAAUGGAACCUAUAAAUUUUAGAAAUGAUUUUUGUUUAUGGCAUAUUACUACCUACCGUAAUUUCCAACUCGUAUUCAACGGUUGUGUAUCAGUUAUUCUGAUACACUUAAGUUAUUUAUUAUUCAUUCUAGUUUACUCGAAAAGCCAUAAUGGCUGCAUUUACGCAAUAAAAUAUUUUAUGCGCAAUAAAGCGGAACAUCCAAACGUCGCAGGUGUCGUUUAGUUAGACCAAUAUUGCUUUAUUGCUCGAACUGCAUUCAAUAAAACUGGUAUUAUUCAAAAUUAAUUUUAAUGUCAAGAAAAUUGUUUAGUCGUGGAGAGGAAAAUAAAAGCAAUAAAAUUCUAAUCGCCUUAACUGAGCCCUGCCCGUUUUUUUUUUAAAAGAAGCUUUAUAUGUAGGUAGGUAGGGAUACUUAUCUUUAAAACCGUAAUCAGAUUUUCAUUUCACCGACGUAUGCAUAAACCGUAUUUGCAAUAACAGGCAGACCUUACGUAAGCAAUCAGAAAAAUCAAUGGAAAAUUAUAAACUCUGUAUGUGUACUGGAUAUAAAUGGAAUAGGGGGGGAUUUGUUGCCAGUUUGAUAUUAUUACCCGGAAGCAUUUCGCUUUUCUAUCGGAAUGGAUUUGCCCAUUUGUCGAAUUGAUGAAAGCAGGAUGAGUGAUUAAUUUUACUACUCACGUGGGUUGAUGGUUGUUGAAAGUGAGAUCAAUGGCGAGACGAUAUCAACUACAAAAG
Long non-coding RNA from Photinus pyralis (common eastern firefly), 2508 nucleotides. RefSeq lists it as uncharacterized. NCBI's taxonomy places the organism in Eukaryota, Metazoa, Arthropoda, Insecta, Coleoptera, Lampyridae. The transcript is spliced from 3 exons. The record is from RefSeq and is a predicted model, not a curated record.